GCCCUGAUGGUCUAGCGGUAUGAUUCUCCCUUAGGGUCGUCUUGAGACGGUUCAGCAUGGGAGAGGUCCCAGGUUCGAUCCCUGGUUAGGGCC
RNAcentral lists this transfer RNA (93 nucleotides) under Colletotrichum zoysiae. RNAcentral describes it as "tRNA-Pro". Lineage: Eukaryota; Fungi; Ascomycota; Sordariomycetes; Glomerellales; Glomerellaceae. The record is from RNAcentral.